UGGGGAAUUUUGGACAAUGGACGCAAGUCUGAUCCAGCCAUGCCGCGUGCGGGAAGAAGGCCUUCGGGUUGUAAACCGCUUUUGUCAGGGAAGAAACGAGUUUCUCUAAUACAGAGACUUAAUGACGGUACCUGAGGAAUAAGCACCGGCUAACUACGUGCCAGCAGCCGCGGUAAUACGUAGGGUGCAAGCGUUAAUCGGAAUUACUGGGCGUAAAGCGUGCGCAGGCGGUUAUGCAAGACAGAUGUGAAAUCCCCGGGCUCAACCUGGGAACUGCAUUUGUGACUGUAUAGCUAGAGUACGGCAGAGGGGGAUGGAAUUCCGCGUGUAGCAGUGAAAUGCGUAGAUAUGCGGAGGAACACCGAUGGCGAAGGCAAUCCCCUGGGCCUGUACUGACGCUCAUGCACGAAAGCGUGGGGAGCAAACA
This 427-nucleotide ribosomal RNA is filed under the name uncultured bacterium. RNAcentral's name for it is "bacterial SSU rRNA". It matches the Rfam family "Bacterial small subunit ribosomal RNA", at positions 355 to 774 of the family's 1533-position model. The record is from RNAcentral.